This is a long non-coding RNA of Dermochelys coriacea (leatherback sea turtle), 1061 nucleotides long. RefSeq lists it as uncharacterized. Lineage: Eukaryota; Metazoa; Chordata; Testudines; Dermochelyidae. The transcript is spliced from 4 exons. The record is from RefSeq and is a predicted model, not a curated record.
AGAGGAUUGGAUACCUUGCAGCUGGGUGGAAGCUAGCACCCUAGAAAGAGCAGUGCUGGGAAGGAACAGGGGAGCGAGAGGGAGCUCCUUUCUGGCUCUAGGACUGACAUGCUGAGGCCCUGAGAACUCCUUGGGACCAGGAACAGCCAAGGAGCAUUAAGAUGGCAACAACAGUGUGUGGCUGGGACUCUGAGGCAGUGAUGGGUAUAUCUGAGAUGGGCAACUCAUCUUUAGUAAUAUACUUUCAGGCACAGUGGAUGCUAUGCACAGAUGCGAGGCCCAGGACCUUCAACUCUCUGGCUGAUUGGGAGCCUUUGAGGAGGACCACUGGGGAGUCCUGACAACAGGUGGAUUUUGUCGCAGGCGGGGAGACCCUCUGGGAUGAUAGACACCAGGAAAGCUGCAGGAUUUCCUCCCAGCAAUCACCAAAGCAACAAACCUUCAUCCUGCCAGAAAGAGAAACUCAUCUCGCAUCCUCCUCCUCCUCCCAAGGCCAUGGUCAAUGCUACUCAGUGAAUCAGCUGCCAGAGGAUGUUGUCAGAAAAGGACAUCUCACACCCAGUUAUGUUUGCCAGUUAGUUGCUAAAUAUAACAGGAUAAUAUUUUUUUAACUCAAAUGGUAAAUGGGUAUCGUUUCUCUUUACAUUUCUGAUGUCUUUCACCAUGUGUCUCCUUCCAAAGGAAACAUUGUAGAGUUGUAUAAGUGUCUUGCUAUGAUAUUAUAUUCUAAGGACAGUAUAGGAAAAUAUUCUAUUUUUACUUUGGUGAAGUCAACAUUGUAAUAAAGUAAAUAUUUCUUGUUAAGGUCACCUAUGAUAGACUUUGUUGAUCUGUUUUUGUAAAAGAAAUAAAGAGCUCUUUCUGUACAUAGCCAUGCAUAGUGAUCUCUAUCUUCAUCUCCCUUGUUAAAUGUAAACCUCAGUAGACUAUUGGCUAUUUUGAGUGUCUUAUACAUUUAAUAUACAAGCUAUUCUUAGGGAAACAAUCUUACCUUUCUGGAAUACAGCGUGUGGGAAUUGUGUAAAAUGUGUUGGUGGUAUCAGUGCAAUAAACUGUAAAGC